CAGCCGCCGCGGUAAUACGGAGGGUGCAAGCGUUAAUCGGAAUUACUGGGCGUAAAGCGCACGUAGGCGGUUUGUUAAGUCAGAUGUGAAAUCCCCGAGCUUAACUUGGGAACUGCAUUUGAAACUGGCAAGCUAGAGUCUUGUAGAGGGGGGUAGAAUUCCCGGUGUAGCGGUGAAAUGCGUAGAGAUCGGGAGGAACAUCAGUGGCGAAGGCGGCCAUCUGGGACAACACUGACGCUGAGGCACGAAAGCGUGGGGAGCAAACAGGAUUAGAUACCCCUGUAGUCCCUGUCUCUUAUAA
Molecule: ribosomal RNA, 301 nt
Filed under: uncultured bacterium
Lineage: Bacteria
Description: partial 16S ribosomal RNA
Rfam family: Bacterial small subunit ribosomal RNA
Source: RNAcentral